Molecule: long non-coding RNA, 1766 nt
Organism: Dreissena polymorpha
Lineage: Eukaryota; Metazoa; Mollusca; Bivalvia; Myida; Dreissenidae
Exons: 3
Source: RefSeq, a predicted model, not a curated record
UUUAAUGACAUAAUCUUAGUUACUUGUGAGAAAACAUUCUACUUUGUGGACCCAAAUGUAAUGUGUAUUAUAUGUGAGAAAUGGAUAAUACUAAGAAAGUGUCAAAUGGUUAUCUUUGUAAAAUGGUUCAUGUUUAUGUUUCUUUCAAAUCAAAUCCACACUUUACUGGUCAUGUUUUUUUUAAUGUGAUUAUACCGUACACCAAAUUAUUAAUACCUUAUCUUAAUGCAUUUUUGUUUUAUCUCCCUGACAUGCUGUGUUGUAGAGGUUGGUAUUUAGUUGUGUUGUAGAGGUUGGUAUUUAGUUGUGUUGUAGAGGUUGGUAUUUAGUUGUGUUGUAGAGGUUGGUAUUUAGUUGUGUUGUAGAGGUUGGUAUUUAGUUGUGUUGUAGAGGUUGGUAUUUAGUUGUGUUGUAGAGGUUGGUAUUUAGUUGUGUUGUAGAGGUUGGUAUUUAGUUGUGUUGUAGAGGUUGGUAUUUAGUUGUGUUGAAGAGGUUGGUAUUUUUGUUGUGUUGUAGAGGUUGGUAUUUAGUUGGGUUGUAGAGGUUGGUAUUUAGUUGGGUUGUAGAGGUUGGUAUUUAGUUGUGUCGUAGAGGUUGGUAUUUAGUUGCAUAUAUUGUCUACCGGUAACUGAUCAAUGGAAUUCUGAUUCUGAACCAGAGGUUUGAUUUCUCCUCCCUUCAGUUGACGUCUCCCCUUUCAAUGUUAGACAAAUUUUACAAAUUUGGGUUAAUAUUGCAGUAUCUGUUUACAAAUGAAGAGUUUAGUUAACACUGUAAGGUUGGGAAGAGUAUUUUCCUUCCCUGAUGUGGUUCUUAAAUCACAACCAUGUGAACAGACAAGUAUUGUCACAUUUAAAAAUCUAACCAGGAUACAAAAGCAUUUACAAUUGAGCCUCGCUUUGUACAAAGGGGGUUUAACCCUUCCUCACUCAGACGCAGAGUGAAUAUUGCUAUGUGCAAACAGCAUCAAACCAGAACAAAGUGUCAGCCCCAAUUAGCCAGUGUGGACUUCAAACAGCAUCAAAUCAGAACAAAGUGUCAGCCCCAAUUAGCCAGUUUGGACUUCAAACAGCAUCAAACCGGAACAAAGUGUCAGCCCCAAUUAGCCAGUGUGGACUUCAAACAGCAUCAAACCAGAACAAAGUGUCAGCCCCAAUUAGCCAGUGUGGACUUCAAACAGCAUCAAACCAGAACAAAGUGUCAGCCCCAAUUAGCCAGUGUGGACUUCAAACAGCAUCAAACCAGAACAAAGUGUCAGCCCCAAUUAGCCAGUGUGGACUGCAAACAGCAUCAAACCAGAACAAAGUGUCAGCCCCAAUUAGCCAGUGUGGACUUCAAACAGCAUCAAACCAGAACAAAGUGUCAGCCCCAAUUAGCCAGUGUGGGCUUCAAAAAGCAUCAAACCAGAACAAAGUGUCAGCCCCAAUAAGCCAGUGUGGACUUCAAACAGAAUCAAACCAGAACAAAGUGUCAGCCCCAAUUAGCCAGUGUGGACUUCAAACAGCAUCAAACCAGAACAAAGUGUCAGCCCCAAUUAGCCAGUGUGGGCUUCAAACAGCAUCAAACCAGCACAAAGUGUCAGCCCCAAUUAGCCAGUGUGGACUUAAAACAGCAUCAAACCAGAACUAAGUGUCAGCCCCAAUUAGCCAGUGUGGACUUCAAACAGCAUCAAACCAGAACAAAGUGUCAGCCCCAAUUAGCCAGUGUGGACUUAAAACAGCAUCAAACCAGAACAAAGUGUCAGCCCCAAUUAGCCAGUGUGGACU